Molecule: non-coding RNA, 22 nt
Filed under: Arabidopsis thaliana (thale cress)
Lineage: Eukaryota; Viridiplantae; Streptophyta; Magnoliopsida; Brassicales; Brassicaceae
Source: RNAcentral
GGUCAAUAUAUGUAAGCAGCUU